UUAAAUUCUUUGAACUUACAA
RNAcentral lists this non-coding RNA (21 nucleotides) under Caenorhabditis elegans. The record is from RNAcentral. Lineage: Eukaryota; Metazoa; Nematoda; Chromadorea; Rhabditida; Rhabditidae.